This 253-nucleotide ribosomal RNA is filed under the name uncultured Acidithiobacillus sp. RNAcentral's name for it is "partial 16S ribosomal RNA". It matches the Rfam family "Bacterial small subunit ribosomal RNA", at positions 524 to 776 of the family's 1533-position model. Lineage: Bacteria; Pseudomonadati; Pseudomonadota; Acidithiobacillia; Acidithiobacillales; Acidithiobacillaceae. The record is from RNAcentral.
UACGGAGGGUGCAAGCGUUAAUCGGAAUUACUGGGCGUAAAGGGCGCGUAGGCGGUUGGUUACGUCUGCCGUGAAAUCCCCGGGCUCAACCUGGGAAUGGCGGUGGAAACGGGCGGACUAGAGUAUGGGAGAGGGUGAUGGAAUUCCAGGUGUAGCGGUGAAAUGCGUAGAGAUCUGGAGGAACAUCAGUGGCGAAGGCGGUCACCUGGCCCAAUACUGACGCUGAGGCGCGAAAGCGUGGGGAGCAAACAGG